This 220-nucleotide unclassified non-coding RNA is filed under the name uncultured Lepiota. RNAcentral describes it as "sequence contains ITS1". The record is from RNAcentral. Lineage: Eukaryota; Fungi; Basidiomycota; Agaricomycetes; Agaricales; Agaricaceae.
UUGAAUAAAUCUGGAGGGCUGUCGCUGGCUUCUCGAGGCAUGUGCACGCUCUCCACCUUUAUCCAUCCACCUGUGCACCAUUUGUAGUCUUGGGGGAGAAAGAUUUGUAGUCUCACUGUGGAUUGCAAGGACGUCCUCUCAGGUCUAUGUCAUUUUCAUAUACCACAUUGUAUGUUGCAGAAUGUAUAUCAUGGGCCUACGUGCCUAUAAAAACACAAUA